Molecule: transfer RNA, 69 nt
Filed under: Camelus bactrianus (Bactrian camel)
Lineage: Eukaryota; Metazoa; Chordata; Mammalia; Artiodactyla; Camelidae
Also listed under: 2 other names
Rfam family: tRNA
About the family: Transfer RNA (tRNA) molecules are approximately 80 nucleotides in length. Their secondary structure includes four short double-helical elements and three loops (D, anti-codon, and T loops).
Source: Rfam by way of RNAcentral
GCUGAUGUAGCUUAAUAAUUAAAGCAAGGCACUGAAAAUGCCUCAAUGAGUUUACUAACUCCAUAAACA